GUGAAAUUGUUGAAAGGGAAACGUUUGACACCAGUCAUGUGGGUGGAAAAUCAGUCUUUUGCAUUGGAGAGUUGUAAGGGUUCGGACCGCAAGGCCGGCUUUUGCUUCAUCUUUGGUGUAAGUGAUGCACUUUUUCAUCUACAGGUCAACAUCAGUUUCUUUUGCUGGACAAAACUCCGAGAGAAGGUAGCAGCUUAGGCUGUGUUAUAGCUCUGGAGCGAUACAGUGAAGGGGACUGAGGUUUUCGCAGCGUGUGCUCUCGGGCAAGGCUGGAUGGGUGCUAUGGGAUCGUUCGGGGUACAAUGCCUGGCAUUUUGCUUCGUGUCUUUUCUAUACUCGCUCAACUCAGCUCUUCCACGCUUAGGAUGUUGACUUAAUGGUUUUAAACGACCCGUCUUGAAACACGGACCAAGGAGUCUAACAUAUAUGCAAGUGUUUGGGUGGCAAACCCAUGCGCGUAAUGAAAGUGAACGUAGGUGCGAUCCGCAAGGUGCAGCAUCGACCGAUCUUGAUAUUUUUGGAUAGAUUUGAGUAAGAGCAUAUAUGCUGGGACCCGAAAGAUGG
Molecule: ribosomal RNA, 564 nt
Filed under: uncultured fungus
Lineage: Eukaryota; Fungi
Description: LSU rRNA
Rfam family: Eukaryotic large subunit ribosomal RNA
Source: RNAcentral